RNAcentral lists this non-coding RNA (52 nucleotides) under Palleronia marisminoris. Its description in RNAcentral is "serC". It matches the Rfam family "serC leader". Rfam says of the family: This family is a putative regulatory RNA structure that is found upstream of the serC-serA operon in some alpha-proteobacteria. The final stem of the structure overlaps the ribosome binding site of the serC reading frame. Lineage: Bacteria; Pseudomonadati; Pseudomonadota; Alphaproteobacteria; Rhodobacterales; Roseobacteraceae. The record is from RNAcentral.
CGGCGGGACACCCCUCCCCAACGAGGGGCGAUUAUCUGUAAGGAUACCAUGA